AACGAACGCUGGCGGCGUGCCUAACACAUGCAAGUCGAACGAGAAAGGGGGCUUCGGCUCCGAGUAAAGUGGCGCACGGGUGAGUAACACGUAGGUAACCUGCCUCUAAGAUUGGGAUAACUUGUCGAAAGAUGAGCUAAUACCAAAUAAGACCACGGUUCCCUCGGGGACAGAGGUCAAAGGUAGCCUCUAUUUAUAAGCUAUCGCUGAGAGAUGGGCCUGCGUACCAUUAGCAGUUGGUGAGGUAACGGCUCACCAAGGCAAAGAUGGUUAGCUGGUCUGAGAGGAUGAUCAGCCACACUGGAACUGAGACACGGUCCAGACUCCUACGGGAGGCAGCAGUGGGGAAUAUUGCGCAAUGGGCGAAAGCCUGACGCAGCGACGCCGCGUGA
Molecule: ribosomal RNA, 392 nt
Filed under: uncultured bacterium
Lineage: Bacteria
Description: bacterial SSU rRNA
Rfam family: Bacterial small subunit ribosomal RNA
Source: RNAcentral